CACACAGAAACACAGAGAUGACAUACACAGAGAGAAAUACACAGAGAAACAUACACAUACAGAUACACAAAGAGAUACACACAGACACUCAUAGAGACACGGAUAUCUACAGACACACUAACAAAGAUCCAUAGAUACACAUAUAGAGAUACAAACAGCCAUAGAUACAUACACAGAUAGACAGAGACACACAGAUAUAUAGGGACACACACACACACACAGAUACCCAUAGACACAUACAGAGAUAUACACACACAGGCACACACUCAGAUACAUAUGUGCACACCCAUAUGUUCCUUCUAACAUUUACCCUCAAAAUUGCUGAGUUUUAAACUUUCAGAUGGAACAAUUCGUUACAUCCCUAGAUGAUUUUCAUGCAUUCUUCUCUGAAGUGAUGGCCCAUGUAUCCCUAGACCCUAUCAAAAACACUGUCUUGAAACUAGUCAUUGAAGACAACUGAGGAUGGAGGUUUCUGUCCAGCCUGGUCCCACAGCCGCUUUGCCCCAAAUAAACACACAAAGACUUAUAUCAAGUAUAUAAUGUUUGGCCGAUAUCUUGGGCUUCGUAUUGGCUAGCUCUGUUUUAAUUAUUAACCCAUUUCUAUUAAUCCAUGUAUUACCAUGAUGCUAUGGCUUACCUGUAAUCUGGCUGUUACUCCUUUGACAGAAUGGCGUCUUUCUCUGCCUUCCUCUCCCCAACCUUCUCCUUGUCUGGUAGUCCAGCCUAUGCUUUCUGCCUGGCUAAUGGCCUUAGACUCACAGCAAUCCUCCUGUGUCAUCUUCCUAAUGUUAGGGUUACAGGCAUGAGCUACUAAGCCCUACUCUCUACUUUUCUUUCAUUAGCACUUUGAAAAUUGUAAUGUUUGGGGAAAAGCAAUGACUGUAUUUAUUAAAGAAACAAUGAUUUUGUAUUGACCUAGAGAAUAAAAAAGGAAGUAAAUAUUUUUGGCAAUCUGAAGAGAAUCACAAGUUUAGUGCAGUGGGUAGCAGUGCCUGGAGGAUGCAGUGGGUAGCAUUGCCUGGAGGAUGCAGUAGGUAGCAGUGCCCGGAAGGAUGCUGAGGUUAGCAGUGCCCUGGAGGAUGCUGAGGACAGCAGUGCCUGGAGGAUGCAGAGGACAGCAGUGCCUGGAGGAUGCUGAGGACAGCAGUGCCUGGAGGAUGCUGAGGACAGCAGUGCCUGGAGGAUGCAGUGGGUAGCAGUGCCUGGAGGAUGCUGAGGACAGCAAUGCCCUGGAGGAUGCAGAGGACAGCAGUGCCUGGAGGAUGCUGAGGACAGCAGUGCCUGGAGGAUGCUGAGGACAGCAAUGCCCUGGAGGAUGCAGAGGACAGCAGUGCCUGGAGGAUGCUGAGGACAGCAGUGCCUGGAGGAUGCUGAGGACAGCAGUGCCUGGAGGAUGCAGUGGGUAGCAGUGCCCUGGAGGAUGCAGAGGACAGCAUUGCCUGGAGGAUGCAGUGGGUAACAGUGCCCUGGAGGAUGCAGAGGACAGCGGUGCCUGCAGGAUACAGUGGGUAGCAGUGCCCUGGAGGAUGCAGAGGACAGCAGUGCCCUGGAGGAUGCAGAGGACAGCAGUGCCUGAAGGAUGCAGUGGGUAGCAGUGCCUGGAGGAUGCAGUGGGUAGCAGUGCCCUGGAGGAUGCAGUGGGUAGCAGUGCCUGGAGGAUGCUGAGGACAGCAGUGCCCUGGAGGAAAGGGUGUUUUGCUGGAUAGCAAAAAGAACAGACAUCCAUAUCUAGUACCUUGACCACCAAGGUUGGGUGAAGCCCAGCCGUGCAGUGACGCUUUGGGAGGUUUCUUCAGCUAUUGACUCACACCUGCUGGAUGUUUGCUACUUUGCUUCCUAAAGGGCUUUGCGAUGCAUCUGGCCUGAAACUCCUGGAAAUCCUCGGGCAUCAACUUCCCAAGUCCUUGGAUUAAAGGUGUGAGCUGCCAUUUUGGCUGCAGUAGGCCAUUUAUUGGCACAUGUUACCAGAAGUCUGGAGAAACGGCAGAUCAGUGACACCACAGAGACCCAAGGUUCCCAGCACUCUUUGCUGUCUUGAAACUCAGUGUUGGGUACUUCCUAAUGCGAAUCCUGUCUGUAGUGUGGCUGCCAGCAGGUCACUGUUUCCGCUUCAGUGUAGGCAAUGCUGUAGCAAUCCCUCUACACACAGUGGAAAGAACUCCUUUUUGCUAGCCUGACUUUGGUCAGUUGCUUAUGUCCACAGCAGUAGUUACGGGGUGGCGGGGCUUGUCUCCCUGAGUCUUGAGGAUUAGCAUUGUCACCCGUAACUCAGAUGAAUUAGAGUUUACUCCAGAGGCUGGACAAUACUGGAACCACACUGCCAGCUACACAGGCUCAACGCGCAGGCUGAAAUUUGGGAAGGCCCACUGCAGCGUACCUGUAGGAAUACAGAAGUUGCAACUGAGCUGUAGGAAGAGAUGGAUAAAGAGGAGCGAGCUGGAGAUAAAGGCCUGCUUCAGUACCACACAUCGCAGUCACCCAUGAGAAACAAUGGCUGCCAGUCUUCUCACCCUUCAGCAACAAAGAGCUUUCACGCUCUUGCUGUCAACAAGCGUUCUGGGAAGAGUACACUGGCUGAAAGGCACAAAUGGUCCUCCCUCUGCACCACAGACUCUGCUUUCAAACUCAACCAAACCAAGACAUCACGAAAUGUAUCUGUACUGAAUAUGUGCAGAAAUUUACCCUCAUUAUUAUGCUCCAAACAAUAUUCAGUAGUAACUGUUUCAUGUCUCGGCUCUGACAAUUAACCGGGAGCAGAAGGGAGGAUGUGCCUACAGGACAUGCAAGUACCUUAGUACUCAUGCAGAAGUUCUGAGUGUCCACUGAUUCGGGCAUCACAGAUGGACAUCUGCUGAUAGGUUCUGUACUCACAGAAUCUGAGAGGUGUCCAGAUGAUCAGGAGUUCAAGGUCAUCCUCAGUGUCACAAUGAGUUCAAAGCCUGGGCUACAUGAGAUCUUGUCUCACAAGACAAAACAAUUAAAAAUCUGUCUGAAACUGAGGCGCUCACCCUACUAGCUCUAACCAGAAGAGACAGAAUAAAAGCAAUGUUUUGGGAAAGCAUGGUCCAAAAUAAAAGAUAUUAAACAUAGCUAAUUUUAAAAGGGAUAUUUUUACACACACAACAAAACAAAAACCAAAUUGUUUUUCCUUAAGUGGUAAUUUUUCUCUUUAUUGUCAUUCAUUCCAUAAAGUUAUUGAUUGAUUAUCUUCACUGUACCAAACAUCAACAUACUAGAAAUAGAAAACAAUAAUUACAGCUAGAAAUGUUUGUAAUAACAGCUAGCUUAAAGGAUGUUGAUUAUGAUUGGUUAGGGUGAUGAAAUAUCAAAGGCUGAUGUGAACUAGCUUUAUCUUUGUGGCCACAUCCAUUCCUACCACACAAAUAAUCUGUCCUGAAGUUCUUUUGGUACUCUUUGGCCUCCCCUUCUGCAUAGUGAAGCUUCCACCAAUGAGAAUGGCCUUAAACUCACUCUUCUUAUAAAAGCUGCAGGAGGUGACAGCGUUGUGACUGUUUUUUUCCCCCGAGACAGGGUUUCUCUGUGUAGCCUGUCCUGAAUCUGUCCACCAGACUGGCCUCAAACGCAGAGAUCCCCCUGCCUCUGUCUCUCAGUGCUGGGAUUAAAGGCGUGCACCGCCGACACCUAGCCUUUUGCAGAAAUCUUUUCUUAACAGUGCUUUUUUUCACUGCUUGCUGACAUAGAAGGAAGACAUGUAAAAUAAAAGACAUGGUAUCUUAA
Long non-coding RNA from Mesocricetus auratus (golden hamster), 3738 nucleotides. RefSeq lists it as uncharacterized. NCBI's taxonomy places the organism in Eukaryota, Metazoa, Chordata, Mammalia, Rodentia, Cricetidae. The record is from RefSeq and is a predicted model, not a curated record. The transcript has 3 exons.